RNAcentral lists this long non-coding RNA (521 nucleotides) under Zea mays. RNAcentral's name for it is "long non-coding RNA (ZMAY_LNC004692)". The record is from RNAcentral. Lineage: Eukaryota; Viridiplantae; Streptophyta; Magnoliopsida; Poales; Poaceae.
GAAGGUCCAGCUAGAAAAAAUUACAAGAAAGAAUGCGCAUUUCUGCCAUUUCAUGGGGAUCUUGCCUAGGGAGCACAAGUGGUGUCUCUGUUCCCUGUGCGGCGAGCAGUCCCCAUUUUUGGUUCUGAAGAUCAGCGGUCUGUUCGGUUCAUCAGGAUUGAGCACCAGAGUCAUUCCAGCUUAUAAAGAUCCAACCGUGAAUUAUUCCAGGCGCUCAUUCCGGAGGAACCGAACGAGCCUUAAAGAAGCUGGCGACCCUGCAAAGCAAGCAAGAAUAAAACUGCGUGAACAACAACAUUUCGAUCAUGUACGUUUGAAUUCUAAAUAUUUUGCACUAUCAGGUUGCAGAAACCACAGCGAGGUAGAAAACAAUAGUGGAAUUUUCUUAGAAUUUGGUGAGAAGUCCCGAAAUUAAGUUAAGAGCCAAGGUGCAGACAACGAGAAAUUGUGUUGAUUCAGAACUCACCCGCAUCCAUGCAUCCUAGGCGCAGAGGAUGAACUUGCCGGAGGGCAAGGCCGCG